UAUUUAAUACAUCACUACAAGUUGCCUAGUUAUGCAACACAACAGAAAUUUACCGAAUAAUAAUAUAUGAAAUAGCCUAAAUGCAAUCAGUAAAAGAAACAAAGAAAAAGCUAAAUUAAAACUUCAAAGUUACAGUCUUCAUAUGUAUUCAUGCUUUCACAUUUCAGCUUAUAAUAUCGACAAUGUUACAGCCAUAUACCUGAUAUUGGAAGUAAAAGAAGAGGAAGAUCAGCAGAAAUUAGUAGCAUACAACAACAGCAACACCCAGCAACAACCAACAACAGAUACCUAGGGACAUAUUUGGAAAACCCACAAAAUUCCAGGAAUAACCAGCGAAGCAGUAGCAAAUACACAAAUAGCAACCCAGGAAAAAGAAGAAAGAACCAGAAGCAGUAGAGUAGUAGUUUUCUGGUUUUCCAAUACUCAAGGAAAGAGAAGCUUGAAGCUUUAAUGGAAUAGCAGCAAACUAGCAACAAUUUUAAGGUUCAAAAUACAACCUCUAUUUCAGUCUUUGAGUUGUGGACCUUCUUUGUGUUUUUCUAAAUUCCAACAGAUUUUUAAUUAAAUUCUAAAUUUUGUCUUCAAAACAUCCCCACUUCCUUAUGUCCAAGUUUGGCUAUUUAUCUCCCAAAAUAGACUAUUUUCAGCCCUUUUUUUUUCUUUUUCAGCGGUCAAAGAAAAUCUUUUAUUAUUACCCUCACUCCUUUUUACUUUCCACCUUUAUAUUCCCUCCCUAUGUGCACCCUUUUUAGCUUUUUCAUUAUUAUUUUCUUCUUUUUUUGCUCAUUAUAUUUUGUUCCCCACUACUACAUGUCUUGUCCCCCACUAUAUUAUUUUAAUAUUAUUAGUGCUUAGAAGACAGAAUAUUUAAACUAAUCAUUUUUACACUUUUAAAUCCCAAGAUACCCAUGAUAUUAAUGGAAUUAUAAUUAUACCCCAUCAGCUAUAAUCAACUCACAUAAUCAAUUAACCAUAUGAAACUAACUCAUAAUCAAUAACAUUCCGGAAUCACUUCAAUAAAGUCAUAUUCAUAUUAGAAUUAACAGCACAAUCCACUAGAUUUAAAUUACCAAACUCAACAUCACUUAAACUUCAAAUUAAGACCGACAAUAUUACAACCAAGAUGAAGGAUUCAAGUGAUUAAAUUAACACACUGCUAUAAUAAAACUAAACAAGAAUAAAUGAAUAAAAACAAACUGAACUCAUAUGCAAGAAUUGAUAAACAACGAACAAAAAAAAGAAUCAAACAUCACACAAAAAUGAAGCAAUUCAAACCAGUAAAUAAUCAUAAGAUAUUAUCACAAAUAAAUAGAUCAAACAUAUACACUAAUUUCGGAUUCAAAAAAAAAAUCUAAGAAAAUCAAACAAGUUGAAACACGGACAAAAGAAAUGAAACUUGAACCAACUGACCGGAUCGGAGCUACCACGGAUUGAUCUUGAAAACUUCGGACAAAACCUCAACCGGACAAACUUGAAACUCGCUGGAAAAGAACAACAAAGAUCCGCUGAAACAGUGAUCUCGGAUCUCGACGGAACUGGGAACUCAUACGCGAACAUACAUAUGAACGCAACCUCAACAACAACAACAAUAAAAACAACAACAAUAACUAACCAGUAUAUUCCCAUCAGGUGGGGUCUGGGGAGGGUAAUAUGUAGACGAGCCUUACCCUACCCGAAAGGGUAGAGAGGCUGUUUCCAAUCGACCCUCGGC
This 1711-nucleotide long non-coding RNA is filed under the name Nicotiana benthamiana. RNAcentral's name for it is "long non-coding RNA (NBEN_LNC029394)". Lineage: Eukaryota; Viridiplantae; Streptophyta; Magnoliopsida; Solanales; Solanaceae. The record is from RNAcentral.